RNAcentral lists this ribosomal RNA (693 nucleotides) under uncultured bacterium. Its description in RNAcentral is "bacterial SSU rRNA". It matches the Rfam family "Bacterial small subunit ribosomal RNA", at positions 140 to 851 of the family's 1533-position model. The record is from RNAcentral.
GGGAUAACAGUUGGAAAUGGCUGCUAAUACCGCAUAAGCGCACGGCAUCGCAUGAUGCAGUGUGAAAAACUCCGGUGGUAUAAGAUGGACCCGCGUUGGAUUAGCUAGUUGGUGAGGUAACGGCCCACCAAGGCGACGAUCCAUAGCCGACCUGAGAGGGUGACCGGCCACAUUGGGACUGAGACACGGCCCAAACUCCUACGGGAGGCAGCAGUGGGGAAUAUUGCACAAUGGGCGAAAGCCUGAUGCAGCGACGCCGCGUGAGCGAAGAAGUAUUUCGGUAUGUAAAGCUCUAUCAGCAGGGAAGAUAAUGACGGUACCUGACUAAGAAGCACCGGCUAAAUACGUGCCAGCAGCCGCGGUAAUACGUAUGGUGCAAGCGUUAUCCGGAUUUACUGGGUGUAAAGGGAGCGCAGGCGGUGCGGCAAGUCUGAUGUGAAAGCCCGGGGCUCAACCCCGGUACUGCAUUGGAAACUGUCGUACUAGAGUGUCGGAGGGGUAAGCGGAAUUCCUAGUGUAGCGGUGAAAUGCGUAGAUAUUAGGAGGAACACCAGUGGCGAAGGCGGCUUACUGGACGAUAACUGACGCUGAGGCUCGAAAGCGUGGGGAGCAAACAGGAUUAGAUACCCUGGUAGUCCACGCCGUAAGCGAUGAAUACUAGGUGUUGGGAAGCAUUGCUUCUCGGUGCCGUCG